RNAcentral lists this ribosomal RNA (440 nucleotides) under uncultured bacterium. RNAcentral's name for it is "partial 16S ribosomal RNA". It matches the Rfam family "Bacterial small subunit ribosomal RNA", at positions 339 to 795 of the family's 1533-position model. The record is from RNAcentral.
CUACGGGAUGCUCCAGUGAGGAAUAUUGCACAAUGGGGGCAACCCUGAUGCAGCAACGCCGCGUGGAGGAUGACGCAUUUCGGUGUGUAAACUCCUUUUAUCAGAGAAGAACCAUGACGGUAUCUGAUGAAUAAGCUCCGGCUAACUCCGUGCCAGCAGCCGCGGUAAUACGGAGGGAGCAAGCGUUAUUCGGAAUCACUGGGCGUAAAGGACGCGUAGGCCGGUCUGUAAGUCAGGUGUGAAAUGCAAUGGCUCAACCAUUGAACUGCACUUGAAACUGCGGACCUAGAGUAUGGAAGGGGCAGAUGGAAUUAGUGGUGUAGGGGUAAAAUCCGUAGAUAUCACUAGGAAUACCGAAAGCGAAGGCGAUCUGCUGGGACAUAACUGACGCUGAGGCGUGAAAGCGUGGGGAGCAAACAGGAUUAGAUACCCGUGUAGUC